RNAcentral lists this ribosomal RNA (326 nucleotides) under uncultured bacterium. Its description in RNAcentral is "bacterial SSU rRNA". It matches the Rfam family "Bacterial small subunit ribosomal RNA", at positions 28 to 334 of the family's 1533-position model. The record is from RNAcentral.
GAUGAACGCUGGCGGCGUGCUUAACACAUGCAAGUCGAACGAAGCACUCUACUUGAUUUCCUUCGGGAAUGAUUGUUUUGUGACUGAGUGGCGGACGGGUGGGUAACGCGUGGGUAACCUGCCUCAUACAGGGGGAUAACAGUUGGAAACGACUGCUAAUACCGCAUAAGCGCACAGCUUCGCAUGAAGUGGUGUGAAAAACUCCGGUGGUAUGGGAUGGACCCGCGUUGGAUUAGCUUGUUGGUGGGGUAACGGCCCACCAAGGCGACGAUCCAUAGCCGACCUGAGAGGGUGACCGGCCACAUUGGGACUGAGACACGGCCCAA